RNAcentral lists this long non-coding RNA (216 nucleotides) under Trifolium pratense (red clover). RNAcentral describes it as "long non-coding RNA (TPRA_LNC013232)". Lineage: Eukaryota; Viridiplantae; Streptophyta; Magnoliopsida; Fabales; Fabaceae. The record is from RNAcentral.
UUUCAAAAUAAAUAUAAUUAUUUAUUUAAAUAUGUUCAUAUGAAAUAGGCUUUUAAACAGGCUAACAGGUCACAUCAGACUUUCAAAAGGCCAGGCUCAGGCCUAGAAUUUAAGCCUAUGAUAGGCCACAGGCCAGGCUCAGACCUUCGAUUUUUUGACAGACCAGACUCAGGCUUGGCAAAGCCUAGCUCGGCCUAGCCUAUUCCCACCUCUAAA